GGAGACGUGGCCGAGUGGUUGAAGGUACUCCCCUGCUAAGGGAGCAAGCGGGCUUAAACCUGCUUCGAGGGUUCGAAUCCCUCCGUCUCCGCCA
This 94-nucleotide transfer RNA is filed under the name Thiobacillus sp. RNAcentral's name for it is "tRNA-Ser". It matches the Rfam family "tRNA". From Rfam's summary of the family: Transfer RNA (tRNA) molecules are approximately 80 nucleotides in length. Their secondary structure includes four short double-helical elements and three loops (D, anti-codon, and T loops). RNAcentral also lists the same sequence under 2 other names. The record is from RNAcentral. Lineage: Bacteria; Pseudomonadati; Pseudomonadota; Betaproteobacteria; Nitrosomonadales; Thiobacillaceae.